CACCCAAAACAGAAGCAGCACAACGCUGCGAGGUGGCUCCGGCCGCACCCCAGCCGUGGCAUUUGGAAGGGAUGCCAGGAAGCUCAGGGAGCAUUUGCCGUUGCUUUGUCUUUGCUCGCGGAGGCGAGGAAAGUCUCCCACGAGGGAGCAGCUGUGACGCACUCCCGGAUUUAUGUUCGCAGGGAAUAUCCGUGGGGAAACACAAGUUGUAAAUGUCUAAUUCUUCGGCUUAGUAACUGUGUGGAAACACAAAACAGGUACCCUGAGAGAGACCAAGAUUCCUGUCCUUAACUGUCCAGCCUCAGUGGAUGUCACACAAAGAACUUCAUCCCCAGGCACCAGGUGAAGGCUGGACUGCAACCUGUGGGAAAUACUAUGGGAGUGUGGUGUAUGUGUAAUGACUAAAGAAGGCAGGUUUGGAUUCACUGCUGAUUAUCACAAAAUGGCAAAAUGUUUCACAGAGUUCACUAAUAUCAACAGGAUUUUAGAAUAUGUAGCUCUGAUUGGUGGAUAGAAAAUGCAUUACUAAAGCUGGUUCUGUACCCUGGUGAAUACAUUACAGUACAAAAUCCUGACCAUGUUCAAAGCUCCAAACUGUAACAUGAUCCCUAAAGAAGUCAAAUAAAAGUUAGAAUUGUGCAACCCAAUCUGUUUAAAUUCAUGGAUUAUUUAAAUCUUAGUCUUUCUUACCUGGGUUUUGUAAAGGGUUGUCAGAACAAGUUCUUGUGUUAGGGGCUUUUCUUUUUCAAAUUGGACCAAUGUAUAUGAGGUCUUCAGCAACAUGCUGAUAAAGAUCAACAGCCAUGUUCUGUGAGGAAACACACCACAGUUAUAUAUCGUCAUCCUCUUGUAUGUUUUACGUUCCCUGUAUGUUCUCAGAUCUGGAAAAUAUGCUUCACAGUGACAGUUUAACUGGAGUACUGUGAGCUGAGGCAUGCAACAAGUUUCUAGGUUUCAUUUCAGUCAGAGGAAAAAAAAACCCAGGUUUGUUUUUUGUAAACAUGAGC
Molecule: long non-coding RNA, 1007 nt
Organism: Passer domesticus (house sparrow)
Lineage: Eukaryota; Metazoa; Chordata; Aves; Passeriformes; Passeridae
Exons: 3
Source: RefSeq, a predicted model, not a curated record